AAAGUGCUUCCAUGUUUUAGUGA
RNAcentral lists this microRNA (23 nucleotides) under Gallus gallus (chicken). RNAcentral describes it as "Gga-Mir-430-P3_3p (mature (guide))". The record is from RNAcentral. Lineage: Eukaryota; Metazoa; Chordata; Aves; Galliformes; Phasianidae.